GAAUGAUAAGUUCUACUGUUAGUUCAUAGAUAAUCUUAUCCUUGUUAAUAGAUUAAUAAAUUGAACUCAGAAACAUGAAACUUAGUGGAAACUGAAAAGCAAAAAUUGUUGCAAAAACAAAGUAAACAAUGAAAUGACGUAAAAUUGAAGGAGUGCAAUGGUAUAACCUAACUUGGAUGAAAAAUGAAGACUUUAAUGCUCUAUAAACACCCAGCGGCAAAGGCACUAACACAGCAUUACAAAGAGCACUUUCAUAAAAGUGUUCACUAUUUAUACAAGUAAUUUCAUUAGAAAACAAAAGCUAAUUAACAUUGUUAUAAGACUCAAGUGGUUGUAGGAAGAGUGUGGAAUCUUUAGGCUUUUCGCCUUAUUGCAACUUUCUUUUUCACUUGUUUCAAGGUAACCUGUUUCAAGAAGAAUAGCUUUCUAUCCACCCUUUCAGGCUCUCUUUUUAUAGGGAGAUAUGAAAGAAACUACAAAAGGAUCACAAUACAAAAGUGAAGCAAAAAAAGAAAAAAGAAAAAAAAGAAAAAGUUGCCCAUCAUCAGGCAUAGAAAAUUUCACCACCUCAAGCAGUUGGAACUGAGAACAUGCAAAUUACCAAAGCAAAAUAACGCACAAAUACUAGGCAAAUUCCAAAAAUCUACUGGUCCCAUCCAAAGUUGCAUUCACAGUGGUAUGAUAAAGCUAAUGAACUUCAUUUUGAGGACUGCCAACCUCUCCCACCUGCAAAACGACCACGACCUCGAUGACGAUAUGGUUUCCUUCCUCGGCUUGGAGAGGCACCCAAAUUAAAUCGCUGAACGUUUUCGGGAAUAACACCAGGUGGUUCAAUGUGCAGUCCACUGGACAUCAUUCCUUGGCCUUCCACAUUCAUGGUACUCAUAGUUGGGUGAGCAGGUUGAACCUGGAAGCCCAUCCCAAAUGCUGCUCCAUUAAAGCAAUUUUCACCAAUAACCCCAGGCCAAGGUGAAGGUCCAGCAUAAAUAUUCAUCUGUCCACCUGGUACUACACCACUAGGAAGUGACCCUUGACUAGGAUUGAACUGUUGCAGAAAUGGCAUCUGACAGGGAUGCAGUUGUUGAUUCUGUGCAGGCCAUGAUACAUUAUUAGCUGGAAAUCCAACAGGAAUGACUGCAUUCUGUGACUGCUGAGAAGGCAGCCCAUUUACCCAGACUCCAUCUGAAGGUCGGAAAACACCAGAUGGUGUUGCCAUUGGUGAAAAUGGUGGACAAAAGCCACUUCCACUACGAAAAUCCUGUCCUUUGGUAGAAGAUGAAAUAUUAUUCAUUGAUGCUCCUAUAGAAGAUUUAUUAUGCUGGUUCUGAUUUGGAGGUGACUGACCCACACCCACCAACGCUUGCUGCCCUGAAGGUGUAUUAUUCUUCCAAUUGCCAUUCCUAUUGUUAACUUUCUUCCUAUUGUUUUUCUUGUUUCCAACUGUCUGAUUAUUCAGGCCCCUCUUUGACAUUCUUUGCAUUCUCCUAUACUCUGCCUCUUUCUCAUCAUCUGAGAACUCUCCAUCAUCUGACAACUCUUCAUCAUUCUCGCCAGAUGCAUCAUACCCUUUCUUGUAAAGAUUCUUAUCACUAAGCACAUGACUAGCAAACUCAGAAACAAAAGAAAUCAAGGUUCCUUGACAGAUGCCAGCAGGGACUUCACUUUCAGAAUUGUAUCUCACCACAUAGAAGGGGUGUUGAACAGGACCAAAUAUCUCAUCUACGAUCCCCAAAGGAGAUCUAUUUUCAGUUAUCCAAAGGAUUGAACCCUCAUUAAGAGGGUUGUGCUUCUCCACCCCUUCCACAAUGACUUGGGCACUUAUAAUCGACAAAACAGCUCCAACGGGCUGCAUCUGAUGAUGCGGUUGCAAUGUGACAUCCAAAGGAGGAACUGGAGGGAGAACCUUAAGCUCAUUCUUCGACCUAAUAGGCCCUCUCAAAACAACAGUAUCCCCUUCCUCUUCCUCAUCAAUAUCAUCAAAUUCAACAUCACUCCAUUCAACCAUCUUGCCUCCAUCCUCCUCUUCCUCCUCAUAAUCAUCAUUCUUACCAACCAUCUCCUUUCCAUUAACAUCCUUUAUCUCACCUUCUUCAAUCUCACCCUCCUCUACUUCUCUAUGCAGUUGCACUCCGAGUUUCUCCUCCUCCUCAUCCUCCUCAUCAUCAUCACUCUUCUCUCCCUCCUCUUCCUCAUCUUCAUCCUCAUUCUCCUCUUCAUCUGCCUCAUCCUCAUCACUGCUGCUGCUGCUGAUGCUGCUACCAGAAGAUGAACCACUUUCACUAGAAGAAUCGGAAUCACUUCCACUGUCAUCCUUAUCGCUCUUUACCACAUUAUUCACAUGGCUACCUGUACCAGCAUCUGUGCUUGACCCAGUGGCCAAAUAAACAUUGCCAAUAUCCACCUCAUCACUUGCUACCGCACUAUUGGCAACACUCCCGUUAGGAACAACAGAAUUCGACCCCGCAACCAAACUUACAUUUCCCAUCUCUAUUUCAUCACCCGCGGUUUUCCCAUCACCACAAAUGGGACUUGACAAACCAACCAAACUAACCCUACCCAUCUCCUCUUCAAUACAGGAAACAAAAUUCCCCUCCCUUACAAGCCCCACCCUUUCCUCAUUUACUAUCACCACGCAGCCUGACCCACUUUCAAUAGGCCUCAACUCUUCAAAACUUGGAUUAGAAUGUGUUUCACUAGAAAAGCCAUUAUCACCCAUCUUCCCAAAAUCAAUCUUACCUAAACUAACAAUAUCUGUAUCUGGGCUAUCUUCAAAAAACUCCUUUAUGGAGUCAAAAUCGAUAAACGAAUCAGUAAAAGAAAAAUCAGCCAAUUUCGCAUUUUCAAGUGGGUCCUUCAAGUUUUUGGACUUUGAAGCUCGGCUGUUGUGGUCGUCUUCAACGAUGGUGGGUUCGGGUAUGCACCCAACCAUCUCUGAGAAAAGAAAGAUUGGAGCUUUGAAGGUUAAUAUAUAGGUUGCAGAGGGAGAAAUUAAAUUUCAUAGCUGCAAAAAAGAGAAAGGGAAAGGAAAAUAUAUAUAUAUACACAUAUACACGGUUGUUUCCUUUUAGAAUGUUUUGCUUCUUAAACCCUAGCUUUGGCGGCUUUAUAAAAAC
This 3113-nucleotide unclassified non-coding RNA is filed under the name Hevea brasiliensis (rubber tree). Lineage: Eukaryota; Viridiplantae; Streptophyta; Magnoliopsida; Malpighiales; Euphorbiaceae. The record is from RNAcentral.